UCAAAAGUAAAAGACGGUCUUGCUGUCACUUAUAGAUGGAUCCGCGCUGCAUUAGCUAGUUGGUAAGGUAACGGCUUACCAAGGCAACGAUGCAUAGCCGACCUGAGAGGGUGAUCGGCCACACUGGAACUGAGACACGGUCCAGACUCCUACGGGAGGCAGCAGUAGGGAAUCUUCCGCAAUGGGCGAAAGCCUGACGGAGCAACGCCGCGUGAGUGAUGAAGGUCUUCGGAUCGUAAAACUCUGUUAUUAGGGAAGAACAUAUGUGUAAGUAACUGUGCACAUCUUGACGGUACCUAAUCAGAAAGCCACGGCUAACUACGUGCCAGCAGCCGCGGUAAUACGUAGGUGGCAAGCGUUAUCCGGAAUUAUUGGGCGUAAAGCGCGCGUAGGCGGUUUUUUAAGUCUGAUGUGAAAGCCCACGGCUCAACCGUGGAGGGUCAUUGGAAACUGGAAAACUUGAGUGCAGAAGAGGAAAGUGGAAUUCCAUGUGUAGCGGUGAAAUGCGCAGAGAUAUGGAGGAACACCAGUGGCGAAGGCGACUUUCUGGUCUGUAACUGACGCUGAUGUGCGAAAGCGUGGGGAUCAAACAGGAUUAGAUACCCUGGUAGUCCACGCCGUAAACGAUGAGUGCUAAGUGUUAGGGGGUUUCCGCCCCUUAGUGCUGCAGCUAACGCAUUAAGCACUCCGCCUGGGGAGUACGACCGCAAGGUUGAAACUCAAAGGAAUUGACGGGGACCCGCACAAGCGGUGGAGCAUGUGGUUUAAUUCGAAGCAACGCGAAGAACCUUACCAAAUCUUGACAUCCUUUGACAACUCUAGAGAUAGAGCCUUCCCCUUCGGGGGACAAAGUGACAGGUGGUGCAUGGUUGUCGUCAGCUCGUGUCGUGAGAUGUUGGGUUAAGUCCCGCAACGAGCGCAACCCUUAAGCUUAGUUGCCAUCAUUAAGUUGGGCACUCUAAGUUGACUGCCGGUGACAAACCGGAGGAAGGUGGGGAUGACGUCAAAUCAUCAUGCCCCUUAUGAUUUGGGCUACACACGUGCUACAAUGGACAAUACAAAGGGCAGCGAAACCGCGAGGUCAAGCAAAUCCCAUAAAGUUGUUCUCAGUUCGGAUUGUAGUCUGCAACUCGACUACAUGAAGCUGGAAUCGCUAGUAAUCGUAGAUCAGCAUGCUACGGUGAAUACGUUCCCGGGUCUUGUACACACCGCCCGUCACACCACGAGAGUUUGUAACACCCGAAGCCGGUGGAGUAACCUUUUAGGAGCUAGCCGUCGAAGGUGGGACAAAUGAUUGGGGUGAAGUCGUAACAAGGUAGCCGUAUCGGAAGGUGCGGCUGGAUCACCU
This 1348-nucleotide ribosomal RNA is filed under the name Staphylococcus aureus M1503. RNAcentral's name for it is "bacterial SSU rRNA". It matches the Rfam family "Bacterial small subunit ribosomal RNA", at positions 194 to 1528 of the family's 1533-position model. Lineage: Bacteria; Bacillati; Bacillota; Bacilli; Caryophanales; Staphylococcaceae. The record is from RNAcentral.